RNAcentral lists this unclassified non-coding RNA (317 nucleotides) under uncultured Tomentella. RNAcentral describes it as "sequence contains 5.8S rRNA gene". Lineage: Eukaryota; Fungi; Basidiomycota; Agaricomycetes; Thelephorales; Thelephoraceae. The record is from RNAcentral.
GAACGCAUCUUGCGCUCCUUGGCUAUUCCGAAGGGCAUGCCUGUUUGAGUAUCAUGAGCACCUCAACUCUCGUGGCUUUGCCCAUGAUGAGCUUGGACUUUGGGGGUCUUUGCUGGCUUACGGUCGGCUCCUCUCAAACGAAUCAGCUUGCCAGUGUUUGGCGGCAUCACAGGUGUGAUAACUAUCUGCGCUUGUGGUUUCCCGCUAGAUAACCUUCAGUGAUGGAGGUUCGCUGGAGCUCAUAAAUGUCUCUCCUCAGCGAGGACAGCACUUUGACUGUUUGAUCUCAAAUCAGGUAGGACUACCCGCUGAACUUA